AAAUGAAUAGACGGGGGCCCGCACAAGCGGUGGAGUAUGUGCUUUAAUUCGAUGCAACGCGAAGAACCUUACCUGGGUUUGACAUGGGGAUGAAAUCUUCCAGAGAUGGGAGACCUUCCUUCGGGAACAUCCUACACAGGUGCUGCAUGGUUGUCGUCAGCUCGUGUCGUGAGAUGUUGGGUUAAGUCCCGCAACGAGCGCAACCCUCGUCCUUAGUUGCCAUCAGGUAAAGCUGGGAACUCUAAGGAGACUGCCUAGUAUAACUAGGAGGAAGGUGGGGAUGACGUCAAAUCAUCAUGGCUCUUACGUCCAGGGCCAGACACGUACUACAAUGGUCGGUACAGCGGGAUGCAAGACUGCGAGGUCAAGCUAAUCCCUUAAAACCGAUCUCAGUUCGGAUUGGAGUCUGCAACUCGACUCCAUGAAGUUGGAAUCGCUAGUAAUCGCGGAUCAGAAUGCCGCGGUGAAUACGUUCCCGGGCCUUGUACACACCGCCCGU
RNAcentral lists this ribosomal RNA (499 nucleotides) under uncultured bacterium. Its description in RNAcentral is "bacterial SSU rRNA". It matches the Rfam family "Bacterial small subunit ribosomal RNA", at positions 903 to 1397 of the family's 1533-position model. The record is from RNAcentral.